This 215-nucleotide small nucleolar RNA is filed under the name Ipomoea nil (Japanese morning glory). RNAcentral's name for it is "Plant small nucleolar RNA U3". It matches the Rfam family "Plant small nucleolar RNA U3". Rfam says of the family: Small nucleolar RNAs (snoRNAs) are involved in the processing and modification of rRNA in the nucleolus. There are two main classes of snoRNAs: the box C/D class, and the box H/ACA class. The record is from Rfam by way of RNAcentral. Lineage: Eukaryota; Viridiplantae; Streptophyta; Magnoliopsida; Solanales; Convolvulaceae.
ACGACCUUAUUUGAACAGCAUCUGUUCUAUAGGCUUGUACUUCUGUAUCCUUGAGUUCUAAGGAGACAGGAAACUAAGCAUGGUGGAUGAAGUAUAUAUGGCCAAGAGACUAGAGCGUGAUUAACAGCUCCAGACCUUCACUGGGCUGAGCCGUAGAGGAUCGUUCUUAGCCAUGGGUUCAUGGUUGGGAUGGUCUCUUGGCUGUCUGACAAGCU